This 471-nucleotide ribosomal RNA is filed under the name uncultured bacterium. RNAcentral describes it as "bacterial SSU rRNA". It matches the Rfam family "Bacterial small subunit ribosomal RNA", at positions 335 to 800 of the family's 1533-position model. The record is from RNAcentral.
ACUCCUACGGGAGGCAGCAGUCGAGAAUCUUCCGCAAUGGACGAAAGUCUGACGGAGCGACGCCGCGUGAAGGAUGAAGGCCUUAGGGUUGUAAACUUCUGUCAGAUUUCAAAGAAGGGGGCGAGGCGAAACACCUGUCUCUUGACAUUAGGAUCAAAGGAAGCACCGGCUAACUCUGUGCCAGCAGCCGCGGUAAUACAGAGGGUGCAAACGUUGCUCGGAAUCAUUGGGCAUAAAGCGCACGUAGGCGGUCGCGUAAGUGCGGUGUGAAAGCCCCCGCUCACCGGGAAUUGGCAUGCAUACUGCGCGACUAGAGCACGAGAGGGGAGGAGCAGAACUCCUGGUGGAGCGGUGGAAUGCGUAGAUAUCAGGAGGAAUGCCGGAGGUGAAGACGGCUCUCUGGCUCGUGGCUGACGCUGAGGUGCGAAAGCUAGGGUAGCGAACGGGAUUAGAUACCCUGGUAGACAUCAC